RNAcentral lists this small nuclear RNA (164 nucleotides) under Lates calcarifer (barramundi perch). RNAcentral describes it as "U1 spliceosomal RNA (ENSLCAG00010015159.1)". It matches the Rfam family "U1 spliceosomal RNA". From Rfam's summary of the family: U1 is a small nuclear RNA (snRNA) component of the spliceosome (involved in pre-mRNA splicing). Its 5' end forms complementary base pairs with the 5' splice junction, thus defining the 5' donor site of an intron. Lineage: Eukaryota; Metazoa; Chordata; Actinopteri; Centropomidae. The record is from Rfam by way of RNAcentral.
AUACUUACCUGGCAGGGGAGAUACCAUGAUCAAGAAGGUGGUUCACCCGGGGCGAGGCUCAGCCAUUGCACUCCGGUUGCGCUGACCCCCUGCGAAUUCCCCAAAUGUGGGAGUCUCGACUGCAUAAUUUCUGUAGUGGGGGACUGCGUUCGCGCUCUCCCCUG